This 255-nucleotide ribosomal RNA is filed under the name uncultured archaeon. Its description in RNAcentral is "partial 16S ribosomal RNA". It matches the Rfam family "Archaeal small subunit ribosomal RNA", at positions 748 to 1002 of the family's 1478-position model. The record is from RNAcentral.
UAGCCGUAAACGAUACUCGCUAGGUGUCGGCCACGGUGCGACCGUUGUCGGUGCCGUAGGGAAGCCGUGAAGCGAGCCACCUGGGAAGUACGGCCGCAAGGCUGAAACUUAAAGGAAUUGGCGGGGGAGCACCACAACGGGUGGAGCUUGCGGUUUAAUUGGAUUCAACGCCGGAAAUCUUACCGGGACCGACAGCAACAUGAAGGCCAAGCUGAAGACUUUGCCGGAUUAGCUGAGAGGUGGUGCAUGGCGUAG